CGCACGAGGCCAUCCAUCUUCAUCGCAACACGCUAGAAGUACCAGGAUUGGCCGAUGAUGAUCGGCGAGUGUUUGCUGCAGCCGACCAAGUUCGCUUGCGAGAAAUCGAGGCCAUGAACAAUCUCCUCAGAUAGUUGUAAUGAUCUUAACCAGUCUUUGAAUAUCUUGUGUAACGUUGAUAUUUUUGGCGUUUCCAUCUUGAAUGCGAGCUUGAACGAUUCUCCCGCAGCUUUUUGACCCAACAGUUAUUUUCUUUAAAUGCGCUCCUUUUACCAACUGUUGUCCAUCGCCAUCUUGUUCUAUAAAUACAAACCCCUCGCAUCCCUUUCGAAGGCACUCGCAUAGCACCCAUUAACUCGUUCCUCGCACACACUUCCAAGUCUUCGAUCAGGCGACUAAGAUGGCCUCCUUCUCUUCUGUCAAUCAGGUACGAAGUUAACUCCCUACCUAUCGACUGAUUUCUCCAUCAAUUGAC
This 475-nucleotide long non-coding RNA is filed under the name Setaria viridis. RNAcentral describes it as "long non-coding RNA (SVIR_LNC001116)". The record is from RNAcentral. Lineage: Eukaryota; Viridiplantae; Streptophyta; Magnoliopsida; Poales; Poaceae.